GAAAUGCGAUACGUAAUAUGAAUUGCAGAUAUUCGUGAAUCAUCGAAUCUUUGAACGCACAUUGCGCCCUUUGGUAUUCCAAAGGGCAUGCCUGUUUGAGCGUCAUUUCUCCCUCAAACCCUUGGGUUUGGUGUUGAGCAAUACGCUAGGUUUGUUUGAAAGAUGUUACGUGGAAACUUUCUUAAGCGACUUAGGUUUAUCCAAAAAAACGCUUGCUAUUAGUGGCCACAACAACUUUUUUUAAACUUUUGACCUCAAAUCAGGUAGGACUACCCGCUGAACUUAA
This 286-nucleotide unclassified non-coding RNA is filed under the name uncultured Candida. RNAcentral describes it as "sequence contains ITS1". The stretch from base 1 to 105 matches the Rfam family "5.8S ribosomal RNA", at positions 50 to 154 of the family's 154-position model. The record is from RNAcentral. Lineage: Eukaryota; Fungi; Ascomycota; Saccharomycetes; Saccharomycetales.